CAGAGACCAUGGUAUUAUCUACCAAUCCUCUCGUUUGACUUGCAUAUGAGGAAACUGAAGCUCAAAGAGGACAGUGAUUCCCCAAAGGUCACACAGCUCAAGAUCCUAAUCUCCUGCUUUCUAACUGAAUUCACUGCACCCUGCUGUGGCCGAUGGAACAAGCCCAAUCCCGUGCACACGCAGCAACAGGGACCUCCAAGAAUGAGAAGACAAGAACGAACCAUUGUGAUGUCUGGUCGUUCCUGCUGUUACACAUCCUACGAAGGAAUCAGAGAGGUCCAGGUUAUUCUCCCCAUCAUUCCAGUUCGUUUUUACUAAGGAAAUAAGCCAUCUCAGACAAAAGGUGUCCCUCUCUGGUUCCAACGCCUCUCAUAAUUGUGAACUCCAGCCACUAGUUAGGAAUCUCCUUGGAGGAGUUUUAUAGCUUCUCUUAAAGAAGUUGCUCUUGAUUUAUGCUGAUCACGUCUGACAGCCACCGUUUCUCUUAAUAAUAAUCAUAAAUAAGCAAGACAAGGUCACCUAACCUGAAACGAGCACGUCUCCACUGCCACAUCCAUCAUGGAGCCUGGAUCUACAGCAGCUCAUGACAAAGGUCUUCUCUUGGCACUCCACGUGAAAUCCCAUUUCUAGCACCUGCCCUGGCAUUUUAAUUUUACACCGUUUUCCUCCAAUAGCCUUACCUAACCAGAGACUCCUAGAGGACAGCAUUUACGAAAGCACUUAGCCCAGAGCAAGGGCAUACGCGGAGCCUGCUGCCUGCUCGUCAAGCAGCUUUUUUUCUUCCUCUUCACUCCAGUGUAACCGCCAAACCAAAAAAUAAAAGUCUUGAAAAAAAAAAAAAAAAACCUGAAAGCCACGGAAAUAAUGAAAUGGACUGGUAGAAACAAGACAGUAAAUUUGAGUGCAUGAAAGCACUGUGGGACACUGAAACAUACGUGGCCAUGUGGCCACACAUCGUCUGGACUUUGAAGACCAAGCCUGCGUGGAUUAGAAUAACAAGUGUUCAUUAACCAGGUACUGGGAAGGCCGGCAGCUGCUUUCCUGCUUGUUAUUUUUACUACUAUCAAUACGUUUCAAGCCCUUGGCCCUGGCCAUAAGACACAGCAGCCACUAUGUCACAUGGAAUGGCUCUGCCUUUUCAACUUGUCUUAAAUGGGGUUCUGCUCCAAGUGCUGUCUCUGCGAUGGAGGGGUGAAGUGAAGCAGAGUCAAAGAGCAUCAAAGACUGAAGAACCCCACCUGGCAAAUAAUAGACGUCAAGGUACUGACAGCCACGAUGAUUCCCUACCAUGCUUACAGCCUAACAUCCCCAUGGCCAAGCUCUGUCAUCUGUGAUGAGGUGAGCAGAUGGGGCUGUCCAUAUCAUAAAACUACAUCUGCAUACCUACAUGGUCCCUUAAGAUGGAUUUCUUUGAUUCUAGGAAGAUGACUGUUUUAUAAUGUUCACUGACCACAGCCCUUACAUUUGGGUUGGAACAUUCCAGAGUUUGUGCUCGCCUGUGAUGGGAGAACAGGAAGAAGCCACCCCAUGACUGACAGAACAAGCCUGUGGGGCAGUUGCUGGAGCAGUAGGAAAGGGGAGACCCUACAUCUGUCACUCACCCCAUCUUUUACUUCCAAAGAUGCUGCGGGCACUGAUCCCUGCAGGGACCUGGCUUCUGAGAGCGUGUGAAGAGCCUAGUGUUGCACAGAAGGGCAGUGAGAGGGCAGAGGGCAGGCCAGGAGGGCAGGAACCCAGGCCGCCCUGGCUUCAGCCAAGGCAUAGAAUUGCAUGUGGGGCUCUGCGUAAGUUUCAUUUCGUUUUUUUAAGCCCUUAGACUAAAGAAUGAGCAGGGGCAAUUUCUUUGGAAGCCACUUAAGAGCAGAGAUGAUUCCAGGCAAAAUUCUCAAGUAGCUUCAGUUAUUCUUGGUACCUUUUGCCUCUGUCUUUUUCUCUCCUUACCAUCCUUUCAUUUCACCUACCCCAAGACCUCCAGGGCCACCAGCUGUGACCUGGGCCCUCUUCUCCUUGCCCAUCAUAACUGACUGUCACGUGCCACCCAAAACUCUAAUUAACAAGUCAGUGGGCUUUAUAUAUUAGCUCUUCUGGAGUAUGUGCCUUUUGAUAGGAGAUUCUUAAAAAUGGCAAAGACUGCCUGGGUGUAGUGGCUCAUGCCUGUAAUCCCAGGACUUCGGGAGGCUGAGACGGGUGAAUCACUUGAGGUCAAGAGUUUGAGACCAGCCUGGCCAACAUGGUGAAACCGCGUCUCUACUAAAGAU
This is a long non-coding RNA of Macaca fascicularis (crab-eating macaque), 2258 nucleotides long. NCBI's taxonomy places the organism in Eukaryota, Metazoa, Chordata, Mammalia, Primates, Cercopithecidae. The record is from Ensembl.